beta proteobacterium KB13 is the source of this 282-nucleotide non-coding RNA. The record is from Rfam. NCBI's taxonomy places the organism in Bacteria, Pseudomonadati, Pseudomonadota, Betaproteobacteria, Nitrosomonadales.
CAAGUUAGCCGGGCAGUCGCUAUUUAUAGAGGAAAGUCCGGGCUCCGAAGAGCAUGGUGUUGGCUAACAGCCAACCAUUGUGAAAUGAGGAAUAGGGCCACAGAGACGAGCGUAUUUAGUUACGGUGAAACGCGGUAACCUCCACCAGGAGCAAGGCCAAAUAGGAUGACGAUAGUAUGGCUCGUACUGUCAUCGGGUAGGCCGCUAGAGAUGAUGAGUAAUCAUUAUUCAAGAUGAAUGACUGCACAAAUACAGAACCCGGCUUAUAGGCUAACUUAUUGA